Molecule: non-coding RNA, 4106 nt
Organism: Phoenix dactylifera (date palm)
Lineage: Eukaryota; Viridiplantae; Streptophyta; Magnoliopsida; Arecales; Arecaceae
Source: RefSeq, a predicted model, not a curated record
ACCAUCUUCGAAUUCCCUCGAUCACAGUAGCCGAAUCCACUCUAGGUGGAUGCAAUUGGGAACCACCACUUGUCUCUUGGCCUUUUUUAUUCCUUUAAUAAUUUGAAAAAAAAAUCCUCAUUUCCACUUGGAUCAAUCCAGACUUCCCCACAUUUCUUCAAAUUUCUAGCUCCAGAAACCCUAAAUGUGAAUCCCAAGUACUUUUAUUUCUUGGAGAAUUCGAUCCUUCGAAGUGGAAACCCUAGUUUUCUGAAGCGAAUCUUGGGUUUAAACCCUUGCAGUGGAAUCGGAUCCAUCGAUCGGUUGCUGUUGAAUUCUAGGUCAGCAGUGGAUGAGUUUAGGCUAGGAGCUGCAAGAAUCGGUUUUGGACUAAUUUUUUGGGGGUUAUAACUUUGAUUCGGAGCAGAAAAGACCCAACUUUUUGCAGAAUUUGUUGGGUUCUCGCAAAGGUUUCGUUUGCAAUCAUGGCCUUUUUGGACUCGGUUUCUUGUGAUUCUUUGCGAAAAUGAGUAGUAAAAGGGAGGAAGAGAGAAAUGAGACGAUCAUCAGAGGUCUCUUGAAGCUUCCUCCCAAUAGAAAGUGCAUCCAUUGCAACAGCCUGGGUCCGCAGCACGUGUAUACAAACUUUUAGACUUUUGUCUUCAUGACUUGCAGCGGGAUUCAGAAAUGAUUUGUGUUCUCCACAUAUGCUUUCUCUGAUUCUGGAGGAAAGAUUUUGUUAGAGUAUUUCUAUACUAAAUUGAUCAGUUGUUAUUUGAUUAUGAUGAGAUGCAUAUAAGUGUAUUUAGUUUGAUGGGGCAUUGAUGUUUUGAGGAUUGGACUGGACCUGAUGUCAAGCUAUCUUUUGUUGGCACUGCUGGCUUAUUUGUUUAGUUGUGAGUUUACUCACUGUGUGAAAACAGUGUCCGUGGCUAAAUUUACUACUCAAGAAGUUGAGGCUCUUCAAAAGGGUGGUAAUCAGUGUGCAAGGUAAAUGUCUCUAAAGGACUGGGACAUGCAACAAAUGAGAUUACUUGAUAGCAGCAAUGUCUACAAGAUUAGGGAAUUCAUAAAAAAUGUUGAUGUGGAUAAGAAAUAUCCUUGAGGGAGGUCCUCUGACAAGCGACCUAGAUACAUGCAGAGCUGUAAGUACCAUGAAGAAGAACACAGGAGGGCCAUUUCUUAUCAUUCCUUUCCUCAGUCCACCUUAUGAAUAUCAAUAUGAAGAAAGGCGCGACAGAAAGCAAAGUGGGAUGUUGAGUAGAAAACCUGGUUCAAAUCGUGGGCAUUAUGAAGGGAAGAUUUCUCGCUUCAUAUACAGUCCAGGUCGUCAGGGAGAGGAAAUGUAUGAGGACAGAUUUGCCAAUGAAAAUUAUGCUUUGAGGAAUUCAGACUACUCAGGUCUAGCAGAGGAGAUCUGCUUAGGAUUGAUGGUCAGUCACCAAACAUUGAAGAUGAAGGAUAUAGUAGCUCUCCUUCACAACAAGCAAGGAAUAUCUUAAUUGAAGAUGGACAGCCCCAGACAUUGAAUAUAUACUCUGAGACAAAUGUUAACAAUAAUUUAGAUGGAUCCGACACUUGAGAACUGCAUCAUCAGGCAGCUUUGGAUCUUCUGAGAGCAACUCAGUAUAUCUGAAGUCAGUUAAUUCAGGCAGCUUAAUUGAUAUAGUCCCUAAGCCUGAGCAUGCUCCUGGAACCCAGCAAUCUGAGCCAUCCAUAUCCCCCGGUUCACAGUUAUAUGCUUCUGCACAUGCCAUGAACCAGGACCCUUUCAGUCUAUCAAUUGAGCACCAAUCAAUCACUUCCUUGACUCCAUCUAUGGAUUUGUUUGUGGAUAUCGUCAGUCCUCAUCUACUACCCCAUCUGAGCAGAAAACUUUGGCUGUUCCCUCACCAGAAACUGUUGGAUGGGCUACAUUUGACUUACCUCAUCAAGUGGGACCUAGUUCUGAAACAACUAAGGGACUUCCUUCUGUGGUGCCUCCUGGUGGAGAGUUACCUAUGGGGAAAACCGAUUUAUUUGCAUCAAUAAAUAAUGACUCACAGUGGUUUUCAGUACAAAAUUCUGCCACUCAUGAAUCUUCAUUAUCAAUUACUGAUCAGUGGUAAGUGGGUUUACAUGAAGUUAAAGGACUUACAGAUACAAACAGCUCUCAGGUAAGGAAUAUUUUAAUGUGGAAAAACCAGUGACAAUAAGUGCUUUUUCUGCUUUUCUCCCAUAUGUUAUAGUCUCUGAGGUGAGGUGGAGAUGUCAACAUAAUGAUUGAUUUGCAACUUACUGUUGUUAACCUUCAGAAGUUCAUAUCUGCCUAACUGUUUUCAACCCAUCAAAGGUUGCUUUCUUGUACUCAAGUGUUUCAACAAAAGUUUCAGAGUGCUAUGGGUACAGAGAUGGACGUCAGACAUGUCAUUUCAUUGGAAGCUUGCAUGUGAAUCAUGUUUAGUAUGUUAUAAGCAAAAUUAGUAACGGAAGUAAGUUUUGACUUAUCUGGACCUCUUGGACAGUGAAGAACUCAAAGUUGUAGAUUACGCAUAUUUGUCUUAAAAGAGAUGGGGAAUUAUCUAUAUAAAGAGAACAUGACUCGUAUGCCUUCUCAUUUAACAAUAACUGAAUAUUAUAGAUUGGAGUUCUGAAUUUGCAUUCAUUUGUUCGUAGUGGUUUAUGAUAUUCCCAAGUUUAGUUAACCUUUGGUGAAUUGGGUUUGAACUUAGAUGCAUGUUUUUUAUAUUCGUUAUUGAUACAAGUUGCUUGAAUUAUUUGUGGUUAUGCCUCAGAAAAUCAUUUCAAACACCAUAUCGCAUAGGUACUUCCAAGUUCAUCCUUGCUUGUGUGUUAUAAAAUGGGAAAUGAGGUCUAGCACAGCAAUUUUCCUUUUAUCCUGGUGUAGAAUAUGGUAGUUGUUCUUCAACAUGUGAUGUUUAUUACUAAUAUCUAAUGAGGACUGUCUCUACUACUUCUCACAGAACUCAGGUGCGUUAAAUAACAAUGUGGGUUUUUAGCUAUAUAGUUGCAAACUCUUUGAGCUAGAUCUCUAUGAUUCUGUACUUUGCUCAAAAUUGCAUCUUUUAUCUUUGUUGCAGUUUUUGGACAUGAGCUCACUGCAAGCAGCCUUGCCAAAUCCACAGUUGCCUACUGCUUUCCUUAGGAGGUUUGUCUCAGACAUGGUUUCCUCAGAACUCAGAACAUAUGUUCCUUCUGUACCUCAAGGACGGCUAGCAUUUAUGGCAGGGCAUGUUCCAGGAUCCCAGUUGCAGUAAGUUGCUUUCAUCAACAUAUUGUUUCUGAGAUUGGUGUUUUGUAGUAUAAAUAUAUGGUGAUAUCAAAGGAAUAUACCUGCACAAGGCCCAAUAGCAUCUCUUGGGGGGAAUCCAUUUGCAUAGGAAAGUGGGAGCGAACAUUUUUGUUUUUGGUUGUGCGAGAACAAAGUUCAGAAACGAACAAACGCUAUAGUAGAAGCACCGGCCAUCACCAAGCGACUAAUAGCUGAAGGAAACUCAUUCAUUCCGAUUGUCCGCCUCUGAGUUGUAGUAGCCAUUUUGGCAAGAUAAUUUGCUAGUUGAUUAGCCUCUCUAAAAACAUGGUUGCAAGAGAAGCUCUGAAGAUGUUCUGUAAUGCUUUGAUGUUCCAAGCAACUGGGUGUAAUGAUGUAGUUUCCGUUAAUUCAAGCAAUAGCUGUAGUGGAAUCAUCACCUUCCAGAACAAUCCUCUCUGUUUGGAAAUGCUGAAUAGCUGCUUCAGUCUGAGCCAUGCCGCCACUAUCUCUACAACAGGAAUAGAACUAGAUUGAAGUGGACAAGAACCGGCUAGAGGAAUCCUUCCCAAACUGGUGUGAAAAACAAAACCUGCACCCGUAUGGCUUUGACUGAAAGUGCCAUCAAAGUUAAUUUUAAUGAAACCUGGUUGUGGAGGUUGCCAAUGAACAAGGAUUUGUUGACAAGAUUUUACAAAGUCCUGCAGUGCAAGAUAACCCUGGUUCCCCUGGUUGAAAGUGAAUAUUUACUAUGGGCAUUUCUUGUGGUGGCAUUUGACAUGCUGCAACUUUCCUGUGUUAUUAUCUGUUUAUCUGAAUCAUAUACUUGGUAUAUUGUUUGUGUGUUCAUUCACAAUAAAACUAUGCCAGUUUGUGA